Molecule: non-coding RNA, 182 nt
Filed under: Streptomyces silvensis
Lineage: Bacteria; Bacillati; Actinomycetota; Actinomycetes; Kitasatosporales; Streptomycetaceae
Source: RNAcentral
CUAAUGUCACCACGCCUUGGUGAACGGGAAAUCGGUGUGAUGCCGGUGCGGCCCUCGCCACUGUGAUCGGGAAGUCCGGCUCCAGCCUCACGGCAGCCACUGGGCGCUCACGCGCCCGGGAAGGCGGAGUCCGGUCGGUACGACCCGUCAGCCAGGAGACCGGCCAAGGCGCGUUGUCCAUC